AUGGCUCCAUGGCUGGGACCAUGCAGAGCCUGGAUUUUGCCUCUCCAGCCACGGGGAAGGGGCUGUUCCCCAAAUCCCCCCUCAUUUCGGUGUCGGCCUCUCCUGCAGCACCCCGAGCGCUCAGUGGGGCCGUGCCCGCGCCCACUCCGCUGCUGUUUCACUGCUGCUUUCGCUUCCUCCCCUGCUGAUGCCUCUGCUCGUGUCUUUUGUUUCCUCGUUCUAUCGUUUUGCUGUUCUGUGGCUGUUUUUGGACAUUUUGCAGCACGGGUGAUGCGCCGCCUGCCUGGUCGGAUUGCUGCUACAGCCCCCCCCGCCCCGAGGACAAGCGGGGUCCCCCGGCCCCCGGUGCCCAGCCCCGUCCCCUGCCCUGGGCACAGCCCAUCCUGGGGCUCAGCCCCGCACCCCUGCGCCUCUGGCCAGGCUGCAGCCGCAGCCUUCCUCCCCCCCGCUGCUCCUCUUCCUCCCCUCGCCCUCUGCUCGCCCCCCACGCUCGCCCCAAGCCCUGCUCCCUGCCGGUGCCCCCGCAGCGCUCCCUGGCCCCGUGGCACUGCCCGCUCCCCAUCGCUGCCCCCCUGCUCCUGCCCCCCCCCCGGCCCCGAACGCUGCCCUCUGCCCCCGGGGGCGGCCGCACGCCGGUGGGAGCCAGCCUGGCCAGGUAACUGCCCCCCACACCCCUGGGUGCCCCCCCACGGGUGGUGGCCUCGGUGUCACCACCGUCCCCGGGAACGGCUGCGAGCCGUGUGGGGGCUUGCCUGCAGCAUGGCUUCUGCGCCGAGAAAUCGCUUUAAAAAGCUGCAAUUAAAGCAAAGUCAGAUUUUAACACCCCCCAGCCCGGCGCUGGGCACCUUUGGGCACCGCCUCGCACCGGGAUGUGCUGGGUGCCAGGGUGCUGGGUGCCGGGGCGCUGGGUGCCGGGGCGGACAGGACCUCACUGCUGUUUUUUUUUUCCCCCUUCCCCCCCAGCACUUUAAAGCCCAAGGAGCUCUCCCCCGUCUCUGGGCCGCAGAAGGGCAGCGGGCAGCAGGCAGCGGCCGCGCCACCGUCCCCCGCCGAGCAGAGCCCCCGCAGCCUGCGCAAAGCCUCCAAGAAGCUGGCGCCCAUCCCGCCCAAGGCGCCCUCGGGGGGCACGUCGGAGCCGCCGGCGGGCCAGCCGUCCCCCGCCAGCCUGUCCCCCACCCCACCGAGCACCCCCGCGCCCUAUGGACUCGCUUACCCUCAAGGCUACUGCCUGGCCUCAGCCGAGGCAGAGGCCCUCGCUGCCGCCGCCGCAGCCCCCCACGGCCAGCGCGUCCGGCUCUAGCCCCCAGCCCGCGGAGCCCCCCCUGCUCGACGCCGUGGCCCCCGGGGAGAGCGUGCCCACAGGUAACCCAGCCGCUGCGGGACGCUGAGGACGCGCCGGGGCUGCGCCGGGGUGCUCGGAGCCGUCCAGGGCACGGACCCCACCUGGGGACCCUGCUGGGACCCCGUGGGCAGCCGGGGCUGUGGUCUGGUGGCACGGCUGCGUCUGUGGAGCAGAGGGACCAGGACGGCUGCUCGUGGCCUGGGGUUUGGUGGCGGUGUCCUUGGGAAGGUGGCAGUGUCCCCAGGAAGGUGGCAGUGUCCUCAAGAAGGCGGUAACAUCUUUGUGAAGGUGGUAAUGUUCCCAGGAAGAUGACUGUCAUCAGGCAGGUGGAAAGGUCCCUGGGGAGGUGACAAGGUCCUCAGGAAGGUGCCAGUGUCUCUCGGAUGGUAGCAGUGUCCUCAGGAAGGUGGCAGGGUCCCUGGGAAGGUGGCAGCGUUCCCAGGAAGAUGACAAUAUCCUCACAAAGGUGGCGGUGUCCCUGGGAAGGUGGCAUUGCCCUCAGGAAGGUUGUGACAUCACUGGGAAGGUGGCAGUGUUCCCAGAAAGAUCAGUGUCCUCAUGAAAGUGGCAGUGUCCCCAGGAAGGUGGCAAUGCCCCGUGGAAGGUGGCAGUGUCCCCAAGAAGAUGGCUGUGUCCCCAGGAGGGUGGCAGUGUCCCUGGGCAGUGCCCCAAAGCUCUGCUGUUGUGUCCUCUGUGUCCUGACCUUGUCGCUGUUUCUUUGUCCCCGUCCCCCACCACUGCUGUCCCCAAGGGCCACCCCCUCCCCACUGCCACCCGUGGGUGCAUGGGGCAGGUGAGAGCGCGCCCCCAGCCCCAUCCUGCCAGCAAGGACACUUUUGUCACCUGGCUCUGGCUUCCUCGUGCUGCUGGCUCCCUCCUGCCCGGCGGCCCUGGAGAAGCGAAGUGGCAGCGGGCACCCAAUGGUGUCCCCAGCUCGGCUCCCGAGGGGUGGCAGGACAUGGUGGCAGGAUGGCAUUUCCCCAUCCUGGGAAUCACAGGGAACACUUUGGAAGUGGGGACAGCCUGGGGACGUGGUGCUGGCACAGCUCGGUGCCCCAGGGGCACUGCAUGUCCUGCGGGGCGCAGCAUGGCUGGCGGCCGGGUCCCCACACGCAGCACCUUGAUGUGCCCGGUGGCACGGAGGGGAUGGGACGGGGGGGGACCAUGCAGCAGUGGGGUCGGGCUGUCCCCAGGCGAGCUGCGUCCCCCUGCUGCGCCCCAGUGCUGUGCCUGGGGCUCGGUGCAGCCCCCACAACGCACCCCAGCGUGGUACCCCAGGCGUUGCAGUGGGUCUGCAGCCAGGUGUGGUGCCCCCCAACACAGCACCCAUACCUGGUGCCCCCCAGCACCAGA
This 2695-nucleotide long non-coding RNA is filed under the name Anas zonorhyncha (Eastern spot-billed duck). Its description in RNAcentral is "lncRNA (ENSAZOG00000010339.1)". The record is from RNAcentral. Lineage: Eukaryota; Metazoa; Chordata; Aves; Anseriformes; Anatidae.